GGGUCAGUAGGUUGGUCGUGCCACCGGUACGUACUGGUCUCACUGAUUCCUCCUUCCUGAAGACCCGUAAUGCCAUUAAUUUGGUGUUGCGGGGAAACAGGACUGUUACUUUGAAAAAAUUAGCGUGUUUAAAGCAAGCUAACGCUUGAAUACAUUAGCAUGGAAUAAUGAAAUAGGACGAUCGAUCCUAUUUUGUUGGUUUCUAGGAUUGACGGA
RNAcentral lists this ribosomal RNA (216 nucleotides) under Glomeromycotina sp. RNAcentral's name for it is "partial small subunit ribosomal RNA". The stretch from base 44 to 216 matches the Rfam family "Eukaryotic small subunit ribosomal RNA", at positions 690 to 864 of the family's 1831-position model. Lineage: Eukaryota; Fungi; Glomeromycota. The record is from RNAcentral.